Molecule: ribosomal RNA, 443 nt
Filed under: uncultured bacterium
Lineage: Bacteria
Description: partial 16S ribosomal RNA
Rfam family: Bacterial small subunit ribosomal RNA
Source: RNAcentral
CCUACGGGAGGCAGCAGUGGGGAAUAUUGGGCAAUGGGCGCAAGCCUGACCCAGCAACGCAGCGUGAAGGAAGAAGGCUUUCGGGUUGUAAACUUCUUUUCUCAGGGACGAAGCAAGUGACGGUACCUGAGGAAUAAGCCAAGGCUAACUACGUGCCAGCAGCCGCGGUAAUACGUAGGUGGCAAGCGUUAUCCGGAUUUACUGGGUGUAAAGGGCGUGUAGGCGGGGACGCAAGUCAGAUGUGAAAACCACGGGCUCAACCUGUGGACUGCAUUUGAAACUGUGUUUCUUGAGUACUGGAGAGGCAGGCGGAAUUCCUAGUGUAGCGGUGAAAUGCGUAGAUAUUAGGAGGAACACCAGUGGCGAAGGCGGUCUGCUGGACUGCAACUGACGCUGAGGCGCGAAAGCGUGGGGAGCAAACAGGAUUAGAUACCCCUGUAGUC